Molecule: long non-coding RNA, 473 nt
Filed under: Homo sapiens (human)
Lineage: Eukaryota; Metazoa; Chordata; Mammalia; Primates; Hominidae
Description: non-protein coding lnc-KIF25-2:1
Source: RNAcentral
CUCGGGCACUGAUUCUCAACCCUGGCUAACCACUAAAAAUUUACUCAAGGAGCUUUUAAAAAGUAUCAGUGCCUAGGACACAACACAGGUUAAUUGAAUAAGAACUUCGGGAGGAGACUCUAGUAGCAAAUAGCAGCCUUGGUGGGAUGAAGAUCAUUACAAAAGAAUGCAAAGAGACAGAGUGGACAGUCCCUUCCGACACGCAAGCCAGGACAGACACAGAAAGAAAACCUUUGGAACAGGAAAAGAAGAGCUCUUUUGACAAAGCAAAGGAGGAUCACAGAGUUCCAGCCCUGGGGGCUGCGUCUGGGGGUUUCCUGGCAUUAGAGGAGCUGAUGGUGAAUUUUCCCUCAACCAUCACCGGAAAUGUGAAACUCAGUGGAGCUCCCUGUUCCCACAGGGUCACAUUCAAGCACAAUUCAAAUAUGAAUACAGUAAAAUCAUGAGAUCCCAGCUACUCUCAACAAGGCUUA